RNA transcript from Temnothorax curvispinosus, 1394 nucleotides. RefSeq lists it as uncharacterized. NCBI's taxonomy places the organism in Eukaryota, Metazoa, Arthropoda, Insecta, Hymenoptera, Formicidae. The record is from RefSeq and is a predicted model, not a curated record. The transcript has 6 exons.
UAAAGCUAAAUGGCGCGCGCGAAGCGCGCGCGUCUGUAGUGUCUAGUCCAUAAUAAAAAAAUCCAUUUGGACCGAGAAGUGAGCUUUGCGAGUCGAAUAUCUCGCACGUAGUGUUGCCGCUUUUCCGCGUGCGUGAUUGGCUGGCGCGGUCGAGAUUGACGGCGAUCGCGAGAUCGCGGCGAGUUUGGCGAGUUUCGCGUGUGUUAAAUCGUGCGACGUGACGUGUGUUCGCGUGGUGUCUCGCGAGAUAAUAUUCCGAUGAAUUUAAUGUUCGAGAAGAUCUGAUGGGAUUAGCUAUUGGUGCUCAUGAUGCAAAUAUUCAACAAGCGUGAAAAGUUGAUGACAUUACAAAUAUAGUUAGAAGAAAAUUCAUGCACAUUUAAGAUAUAUAGAGAGACGCAUGAAGCUGUUAAGAAAGACCGAUCUAUGCAGGAAUAAAGCAGUAACCUAAAAAUAGAUAGUGACAGUGUGACAGUCGUGACCAUCGCCGCGUGAUAGAUGAUAGUGAUAGUGAAAUAUAUAUUGACGGCAGGGAGCUGAUGCCGAGGAGAUCUUUCAGAAGGAAGGUGUAUCCAAAAUCACACACGAACAUUUUAUAUUCAACUAUAUGGUAUACAAUUUUGCCGCUAUAUAUUGACCGCAGGGAGCUGAUACCGAAGAGAUCUUUAAGAAGGAAAGUGUAUCCAAAAUUGCAUAUGUAUGGGACUUGUGAGUUAUGCGAAGCAAUUGAUACUGUUAAGGUUCAUUGGUCAUAUGAAGUUUGCACACGUCAAGCUUGACAUCCUAAAGACAUCCUACACAAUGCAUUCUGAAAACGAUACCGUGCAGGUUCGUUGGCGUAUACGUGGUGUCAUCACAGGCUGGAAGGUAUUUUCUGUGUUUUGGAAGUAAAAUUUGUAAAAUACAACAUGUCAUAAAAUAAGCGCUAUCCAGGAAAUAUGGUACGACGGCUUUUUUAUUUUUUACGUUAUUGCUGAAUGGAAAAGUCUAUAAGCAUAUUGCGGACAAGAUGAUGCCUAAUCAGGAUACAGCCACGAAAAAGAAAGAUAUGCGCAUGGCAGGGAAAUUAGCGCUAUUCACAGGCCUUGUAAACAUAUUUAGUAUCAACGAGGAUUCUUUGAAUUGAGCUCUGUCUUAAAAUCGCAUCAAUUGAAGUGAAUCCAUUGCUGAGUGCUGAAAUUAUACGAUUUUAUCCGUCACAACGAACAGACCAAGAGGAAUGCUUUUUCCAGUCGAUGGUUUCGAAUGUUGCUGACAUAUCUAUUUCGUUGCAAAUGCAUCAUUAUGAAAUGAUGAUCGGUAGUAAAUGAAAGAUAUGUGAAUUAAAAAGAUGUGUACAUUAACUAAACAGUAUCUUUGUAUGAUUACAAACUAUCUUCAUCUAAUUUUUUAGU